RNAcentral lists this signal recognition particle RNA (318 nucleotides) under Otolemur garnettii (small-eared galago). RNAcentral's name for it is "Metazoan signal recognition particle RNA". It matches the Rfam family "Metazoan signal recognition particle RNA". Rfam says of the family: The signal recognition particle (SRP) is a universally conserved ribonucleoprotein. The record is from Rfam by way of RNAcentral. Lineage: Eukaryota; Metazoa; Chordata; Mammalia; Primates; Galagidae.
GCUGGGUGGAAUGGCGUAUGCUCCUGUUGUUCCCAACUACCCAAGAGGCUGAGGUGGGAGGAUCACCUGAGCCCAGGAGUUCUGGGUUGUAGUGGGUUAUGCCAAUCAGGUAGGUGUCCAUGCUAAGUUCAUCAUCAAUAUGGUGAUCUCCCAGGAGCGGGAGGUGCAGGACAGGGAUCACCAGGUUGCCUCAGGAGGGGUAAACUGGUCCAGGUUGAAUACAGAGCAGGUCAAAACCCCAGGGCUGAUCAAUACUGGGGUUGCCCUGUGCAUAGCCACUGCACUUCAGCCGGGGCAACAUGGUGACAACCAAAUCUU